AUUGAACGCUGGCGGCCGGCCUAACACAUGCAAGUCGAGCGAGCGGCGGACGGGUGAGUAAUGUCUGGGAAACUGCCUGAUGGAGGGGGAUAACUACUGGAAACGGUAGCUAAUACCACAUACCAUCAGCUGUGCCCAGAUGGGAUUAGCUAGUAGGUGGGGUAACGGCUCACCUAGGCGCCGAUCCCUAUCUGGUCUGAGAGGAUGACCAGCAACAGUGGAAUGGAGACACGGUCCAGACUCCUACGGAAGGAAGCAGUGGGGAAUAUUGCACAAUGGGCGCAAGCCUGAUGCGGACAUGCCGCGUGUGUGAAGAAGGCCUUAGGGUUGUAAGGCACUUUCAGCGGGGAGGCGUUACCCGCAGAAGAAGCACCGGCUAACUCCGUGCCAGCAGCCGCGGUAAUUC
This 406-nucleotide ribosomal RNA is filed under the name uncultured bacterium. Its description in RNAcentral is "partial 16S ribosomal RNA". It matches the Rfam family "Bacterial small subunit ribosomal RNA", at positions 30 to 526 of the family's 1533-position model. The record is from RNAcentral.